RNAcentral lists this ribosomal RNA (394 nucleotides) under uncultured bacterium. RNAcentral's name for it is "partial 16S ribosomal RNA". It matches the Rfam family "Bacterial small subunit ribosomal RNA", at positions 523 to 918 of the family's 1533-position model. The record is from RNAcentral.
AUACGUAGGGGGCUAGCGUUAUCCGGAAUUACUGGGCGUAAAGGGUGCGUAGGUGGUUUCUUAAGUCAGAAGUGAAAGGCUACGGCUCAACCGUAGUAAGCUUUUGAAACUAAGAGACUUGAGUGCAGGAGAGGAGAGUAGAAUUCCUAGUGUAGCGGUGAAAUGCGUAGAUAUUAGGGGGAAUACCAGUUGCGACGGCGGCUCUCUGGACUGUAACUGACACUGGGGCACGAAAGCGUGGGGAGCAAACAGGAUUAGAUCCCCUGGUAGUCCACGCCGUAAACGAUGAGUACUAGCUGUCGGGGGUUACCCCCCUCGGUGGCGCAGCUAACGCAUUAAGUACUCCGCCUGGGAAGUACGCUCGCAAGAGUGAAACUCAAAUGAAUUGACGGGG